This 95-nucleotide small nuclear RNA is filed under the name Octodon degus (degu). Lineage: Eukaryota; Metazoa; Chordata; Mammalia; Rodentia; Octodontidae. The record is from RNAcentral.
GUGCUCACUUCGGCAGCACAUAUACUAAAAUUGGAACAAUACAGAAGAGAUUAUACAAAGAUGACAAGCAAAUUCGUGAAGUGUUCCCUGUUUUU